UUUGGAAUUGAUGAUUGUAGACAAAAUGUUGGUACAACAGUCAUUGUUCGUGAUGUAUUUUACAACCAACCAGUUCGAAGGAAGCAAAUACACUCCCAACCCAAAGAGGGUCUUGCAUUCUCUGAAAGAGUCUCUGCUAAGAAUACUCCUUGUGCAUCCCAGUGGCUCCUUCAAAAUUGUUGAUUU
This is a long non-coding RNA of Solanum dulcamara, 186 nucleotides long. RefSeq lists it as uncharacterized. The record is from RefSeq and is a predicted model, not a curated record. Lineage: Eukaryota; Viridiplantae; Streptophyta; Magnoliopsida; Solanales; Solanaceae. The transcript has 3 exons.